CAUAAAACUGGAAAAAUACAAUGGCGCCUACUUAUGUAUGAAAACAACUUUAUAUAUUUUGCAUUAAGGCUCUCGAAUUGAAGAUUCUGAUUCUCUCCGGUUACUGGAUACAACCUUUUGCAAUAUGUGUACCUUACGGGUAUCUCACAUUGUUAAUUUCCCCCCUAGUUCCUAUUUCUGGCUUUUAGUUGAUACUUAAAAACAAGCAUCUUGGAAAAUGUCUUAUUUUAUUUUAUUUUAAAGAUAAGAAACAUGGCCUUUGACACUCACUUACUGAUUUUUAAUUAAUCAUUGGCUAUUAAAUUUUCAUGGGCUACUUUGAUGUUAAUUAAACUUUUUAACUUAGAUUUUCAACUAUGUUUUACUUCAAAUUCUCACAUAAUAAAUGUGGACAUAACAAUAGACUGCUGUUAUAAAAUAUAGUAUCAAAAUAGAAGAAUCUUAC
Molecule: long non-coding RNA, 445 nt
Filed under: Glycine max (soybean)
Lineage: Eukaryota; Viridiplantae; Streptophyta; Magnoliopsida; Fabales; Fabaceae
Description: long non-coding RNA (GMAX_LNC001726)
Source: RNAcentral